This 364-nucleotide long non-coding RNA is filed under the name Phoenix dactylifera (date palm). RNAcentral's name for it is "long non-coding RNA (PDAC_LNC004891)". The record is from RNAcentral. Lineage: Eukaryota; Viridiplantae; Streptophyta; Magnoliopsida; Arecales; Arecaceae.
CUAUUAUAAAAUUUCAACAUAGAUACAUUCACAUACAAGGUGCAGAAGUGGGCCAUGGUGGUUGUAACGUAAUAUAAUGCAUGAAACCAACAUGACAUAGUUUCUGAUGCUACAAUCUUAUGGACUGUGAAAUACUCUCUACUUCCAUUGGCCCACAUCAACAGCACUUCAUUGUUAGUAGAUUUCAGAUCAGGCCAUUAACCUGGUUGAAGUAUGCAAAGUUCCAGCUAAAUUAGCCAUCCUUUAGAAUGGCUCGGCCAGAGAUCACAUCAAUUGAGACUUUAAAUUGUUGAGCAAUGGGUGAUCUCUUGUGGGUUAUCCAUCUAUAAGUAUUGAAGUUUUUGCAAGAAACAUGAGAGUAGGU